Long non-coding RNA from Scylla paramamosain (green mud crab), 2349 nucleotides. RefSeq lists it as uncharacterized. The transcript has 4 exons. The record is from RefSeq and is a predicted model, not a curated record. NCBI's taxonomy places the organism in Eukaryota, Metazoa, Arthropoda, Malacostraca, Decapoda, Portunidae.
CGCAUAGGAGCGUGAGAGGGAAGGGAGUCCGGGUGGUGACGCGAGAGGGAGCCGGUGCGUGGCGUGGGUCGGGCACGGCGUGAGAGCGGGCACAUGCAGAUGAGGCUCCCGGGCAGAGAGGGUUAGGCAGGAGUGCCCCGACUGGCUGGCCCUAGUAGUCUGCCUUACGACUCUACCCUGACAGCACGUGCACCAUGCCCCGCCGUCGCGAGUGUAACGCCCUCACACACCCUAACGAAGUGCUUAGUGUUUAGGGAAAGUGUGGAAAGUGUCGCUUGUGAUCCCUAAGUAUACCUGAUCCCCGCGUGGCUGUCCCGCAUCUCGUCCCGGUGAUCACAGUGAAGGGUUUACCUGGUGGUGGACGUACCCUGGUGUUGAGCCAAUACCUGGGAGGGAAAGUUGAUGUGUUGGUGAUGUAAGCCCCAAGAGGUGACGUCACAGUGUCUAAGAAGCCCCAAGAAGCUUACCUUCCUUGCCUCCCUCGCCCCCUCCGACGGAUAUCCCACGCCCUUGGAAACGCGCUCCCGAAAUUUUUAAGACGACAUUGCCAUCGAGGGGGAAAAAUGUGUAUAAGUGUGGCGCAUGAAAACUCAUUGUGAUGUGAGUGAUGAUUCGAACUUAUGGACUCACCUCUCGGAAAACUUGACGGUGUUAAGAGCGAAAACUCUAAAGAAACAGGAGAAGACUGACGGGAAGGGAGGAGCGGGAGGAGUGGAGAAUAGGAUGAGGACAGUGCGGACACGGAGAAAGGAAGGAGGAGGAACAGGAGGAAGGAGAGCUGUGAAAGAUAAAUGCAGGGGACGAAGGAAGAGGAGGCGAGGAUUCGGAAUAGAAGUUAUGUCGAGCGACGACGUGGAAACAGCCCGACGGAGUAAGAAGAUUUGGUGAGCAAGACCCUUGGCCCUCCUCCGCUGGCACCACUGCGGCACUGGCAAGAAGGCAUAGGCGGUGCUACGCUGCCCUUCGGUACCUCAUCAGUGCCCUCAGUAUGCCACAAGAAGGUGCUGGUGGUGAUGAGAUGAUACGCAGGGAUAGGAGACAAAGGAGUGCGGUGAGAGGGACGCAACCCAAGGCUCCGUCACAGCGCGGAUUCCACCUUAGGCUCCCGGGACACAAGGACGCAAGUACACGCAAACUGCAGUACGGGACUUGUGUAUGUCAACCCAGCAUGCAAGUCCUUCCGCGCCACGAGACAGCACGACGCCUCUGUACCCGAGCUCUGGCAACGCUGCGGAGGGAUAAUGAGGUGGGUCGGUGGCGCUGGGGCAGGAGGGUGAUUGGCAGGCUUACUCGGCCGCUUCUGACAAAGUACAAUGAGGAAGGGAGGAGGAAUGACGGGGGGAAAAGGACGGAACGGAGGCUACAGACAGACAGGCGGAGCGAAGGAGUAUGAGCAGGAAAGAGAGGAAGGAAGAGAUCGAAUGACUGAUAGGGAGAUGAUAAUGUGAGCAGGAAGAAGAGUGGAAAAUACAUGAUAAAGGAGGGAAUGAGAAGGAGAGUGGGAGAGAGUAGAAUGAGGGAGAUGAAUUAGGGAGCAAGUGGAAAAGAAAAGGAAGCCAAAAUUACGAAGUGAGGAAAAAAGCAAAGCACGAGUGGUAAAGAGAGAAAGAAAUGAAAGAGGAAUGAAAAAAAAAAAGAGAUGAAGUACUAGAAGAGGGAAGAUGACAAAGGGAGUGUUAGAAUGAAAUAGGACGAGGACGAAAAAGGGAGGAUGAAAAAGACAAAGGAUUCAGAGGGAGGAGAAUUAGGAAGGAGUGUUUGAGAGGAAGAGAUGAAGAAAAUAGGAAAAGAAGUAUAAGAAGACAAAGGAGAAUGUCAAGAAAAGAAAGAGGGAAAAGGAUUGCGACGAAGAGCUAAAAAUACAAACUUCGAUGAAAGGAAAUGAACGAAGAGGAAAAGGAUGAGAACAAGGAAAGAGAUGACAAAAUAAAACAAAACAAGCAGAAAAAGGAAGGUAAGAAAGAGAGGACAAAGAACUUUAAAGAGGAGACAGAAAAAGAAGAGAUGGAGGAAGAGAAGGAGGAGGAGGAGGAGGAGGAGAAACGAGUGAGGAAAAGUUACCAUGUGAAAAGGAGGAAGACACGAGGGAAAGACUUCAGACAGCCAUAAGACAUGAGGACAGUGUGUGUGUGUGUGUGUGUGUGUGUGUGUGUGUGUGUGUGUGUGUGUGUGUGUGUGUGUGACAAAUGGCAAAUAGAGAAAAGAAAGAUGAGUGAAGAUAUCAUUCUCUCCUCCUAUUCUUCUCCUACUCAUCCAUUUCCUCCUCCUCUUUCUCCUUCUACUCCUCCGCUUCCUCCUCCUCCUCCUCCUCCUCCUUCUCCUCCACUUACCCAUCAAGGCCGCUACCUC